Molecule: ribosomal RNA, 253 nt
Filed under: uncultured bacterium
Lineage: Bacteria
Description: partial 16S ribosomal RNA
Rfam family: Bacterial small subunit ribosomal RNA
Source: RNAcentral
UACAGAGGCCUCGAGCGUUAAUCGGAAUCACUGGGCUUAAAGGGUGCGUAGGCGGAGCCGCAAGUGCUUUGUGAAAUCCCACUGCUUAACGGUGGAACUGCUCGGUAGACUGCGGUUCUUGAGGUCGGUAGGGGUCGCUGGAACUCUAGGUGGAGCGGUGAAAUGCGUAGAUAUCUAGAGGAACGCCAAAGGUGAAGACAGGCGACUGGGCCGAAUCUGACGCUGAGGCACGAAAGCGUGGGUAGCGAACGGG